Non-coding RNA from Vicia faba (fava bean), 234 nucleotides. NCBI's taxonomy places the organism in Eukaryota, Viridiplantae, Streptophyta, Magnoliopsida, Fabales, Fabaceae. The record is from the annotation of a GenBank genome assembly.
AUGGCUUGUUCAUUGCCUUUGGUUUCCACCAUCUUUGUCUUUCUUCUUCUUGUGGCCACUGAGAUGGGCCCGAAUAUUGUGGCAGAGGCAAGGAUUUGUGAGUCACCAAGUCAAAAAUUCAAAGGAGUAUGCUUUAGUAACACCAACUGUGCUAGUGUGUGCCAAAUUGAGGGUUUUCCUGGAGGAAAAUGUAAAGGUUUGCGUCAGAGAUGUAUUUGCACUAAACCUUGUUAA